Molecule: small nuclear RNA, 107 nt
Filed under: Saimiri boliviensis boliviensis (Bolivian squirrel monkey)
Lineage: Eukaryota; Metazoa; Chordata; Mammalia; Primates; Cebidae
Source: RNAcentral
GUGCUUGCUUUGGCAGCACAUAUACUAAAAUUGGAACGAUACAGAGAAGAUGAGCAUAGCCCCUGCACGAGGAUGACACACAAAUUCGUGAAGUGUUCCAUAUUUUU